GGAGAGUUUGAUCCUGGCUCAGGACGAACGCUGGCGGCGUGCCUAACACAUGCAAGUCGAACGGUAAGGCCCUUCGGGGUACACGAGUGGCGAACGGGUGAGUAACGCGUGAGUAACCUGCCCUUGACUCGGGGAUAACAGAUGGAAACGUCUGCUAAUACCGGAUACUCAGCUCUGUUGGCAUCUUCAGAGUUGGAAAGCUCCGGCGGUCAGGGAUGGACUCGCGUCCUAUCAGCUUGUUGGUGGGGUAACGGCCCACCAAGGCGACGACGGGUAGCCGGCCUGAGAGGGCGACCGGCCACAUUGGGACUGAGAUACGGCCCAAACUCCUACGGGAGGCAGCAGUGGGGAAUAUUGCACAAUGGGCGCAAGCCUGAUGCAGCAACGCCGCGUGCGGGAUGACGGCCUUCGGGUUGUAAACCGCUUUCAGCAGGGACGAAGUGAAAAUGACGGUACCUGCAGAAGAAGCACCGGCUAACUACGUGCCAGCAGCCGCGGUAA
RNAcentral lists this ribosomal RNA (501 nucleotides) under uncultured bacterium. RNAcentral's name for it is "bacterial SSU rRNA". It matches the Rfam family "Bacterial small subunit ribosomal RNA", at positions 8 to 523 of the family's 1533-position model. The record is from RNAcentral.